CUCUUGUGCAAAAUUACUCUGUCUGUCUCUCAAAAGGUUCUAGUAAAAUUGUGGCGAUUAAGCUGUGUUGACGGAUGUACGAUUCUGUUGCUACUUCGCGCUUAUGCGUGGUCUAGUCUGUGCAGCUUACCUACGUCUACAGAUGCAUGUUGUGGCCUCCAAGUAUACUUUAGGCCAGGGUAAGCGCUUUUUGUGUGCCAGCCUACUUCCGGCGUGUCCUAACGUGUGCAUAACAACAAAACGCUGUUCUUUAUGUUUUCAUCUAUGUUGCGCUGAACAUUUUAUUUCGUAUCUUGAAGCAAAGAGAAGCGACAUGGACGGCGGUGUGAUAUACUGUGCUCUCUAUUUUUCCAGUCGGUCUACUGCCAUCAGAUAUUACCUGUUAUUUAGAGACAGGUGAAGCACUACCUUUACAGCAAGUGCAGCCAGUUGAGGAACCCGAGUGCUACCUUUCCGCCAAAAGCCUAUUCAACAGAGGCAACCGGAUCGAGGUUAUAGACUGUGCAGCCUCAUUACCUAUACAUCAGCAACUUGACUGCUCUUGCUUACUGCUGUAUUCAAUUACGGCUUUAUUUUAUGAAACGCGUUUGUAUGGUUUAGGCGAAACAUGAUUGGCACCAAGAAGAUUCUUGUUGGACUUCUCGUCCUGGCAAUGGUCCUUGCGAUCGCCAUGGCACAGUUCGCGAAUGUUGGCGAACGUCGGCUUGGUGGUGAACGUGGUUUGGGCCAAUACCGAGACUACCGCGGCUCACGUGGACGUGGCGACGACCGUAGAUCCCACGACGGACGUGAUCGUGACCAUAGAUUCGGCCGCGACCGUGGCUCUGGACGUGACCGUGGCCGAGAACGUGGCAGGGGCGGUGGAUGAGACUUCGACAGAUUUUGAUUAUUGCUUCCUCUGCUCGACCCGACGUUUCUGCACAGAAAACGGAGGGAUGUGUAAUAUGUUUUAAAUGAACAAAAGCUGAAAUGCACGGCAUGCUCCACCAUGUUAUAACAGGCGGCGUAAUUGUGAUACUCCCGAGCAAAGUGCCCGUUAACGAAAAUUUCAAGAGGCAAAUUUUCCACCAGGAAGGACCAAUAGCUCGGGUCAUAGAACCUGCCUCGAACUCCUGAAAAGAAAUAUGAUUAUCAUGAACAGAACCCUUCGAAAUAAUUAUGCAUAGACGUGAUAAACUGUACUCUGUCCUAACGGAACUGCGAUUCUUAGUAAAGAAAGAGUCGCGCACCUUUCAAGAAUAGAGCUUGCAAAGUGUGUUUCAAAUAAACAUGAUUAUCUCUGACUGAAA
This 1289-nucleotide long non-coding RNA is filed under the name Dermacentor andersoni. RNAcentral describes it as "uncharacterized LOC126530554". Lineage: Eukaryota; Metazoa; Arthropoda; Arachnida; Ixodida; Ixodidae. The record is from RNAcentral.